AGAAGAGGAGCGGCGAGUGCGGGAGACCGUGCGCAGGGAUAAAACGCUCCUGAAGGAGAAGAGGAAGCGACGCGAGGAGCUGUUCAUCGAACAGAAGAAAAGAAAACUCCUUCCAGACACUAUUUUGGAGAAGUUAACCACAGCUUCACAGACUAACAUCAAGAAAUCGCCAGGAAAGGUGAAAGAAGUUAAUUUGCAAAAGAAAAAUGAAGACUGUGAAAAAGGAAAUGACUCCAAGAAAGUUAAAGUACAAAAAGUACAGUCUGUCAGCCAGAAUAAAAGCUACUUGGCCGUAAGGCUAAAAGACCAAGAUCUGAGAGAUUCAAGGCAACAAGCAGCACAAGCCUUCAUACAUAAUUCAUUAUAUGGGCCAGGAACCAACAGGACUACUGGUAAUUUUUUUAUGGACUAUUUUUCUCACUUUUUACUGCAAAUAAAACUGUGAAAUGAUAAAUACCUUUCUUUUCUAGUAAAUAAGUUCCUGUCUCUUGCCAACAAGAGGUUACCAGUGAAAAGAGCUGCUGUCCAGUUUUUGAAUAAUGCUUGGGGAAUCCAGAAAAAACAAAAUGCCAAGAGGUUUAAAAGACGGUGGAUGGUCAGAAAGAUGAAAACUAAGAAGUAAAUCAAUGCUAAAUGAAGAAUCUGUACUUUUGUUCUUGCCACAGUCUCUCCUUAGCUGUUCACUCAUUGCUUGCAGCUCUCGUCCAAAGUGGAUCAUUCUUUCUAUGGCGGCCUGACUUCCUCCACACAACUGGCGUCUCAACUGACUUGAAUCAACUUCUGUAAGAAAAACAGACAAGUAUUUUACUACCUUAUGGAAUGGAGUAUAAUGAGGACACGAACAUACAUUUCUUACACCAUUUUGUACAUUUAGUAACUAUUCCCUAAUAUUUCAUCUAAAUAUGCAGAUUGUUAAAAAUUCAUUUUUAAUAUGAAACUGCAGCUAAAAGAUAUACUUUAUUUAGCUCUCAAGAGUCUAGGAUCCAGUAUUCAGCAUG
This 998-nucleotide small RNA is filed under the name Pan troglodytes (chimpanzee). RNAcentral describes it as "processed transcript". Lineage: Eukaryota; Metazoa; Chordata; Mammalia; Primates; Hominidae. The record is from RNAcentral.